Small nuclear RNA from Callithrix jacchus (white-tufted-ear marmoset), 107 nucleotides. The record is from Ensembl. Lineage: Eukaryota; Metazoa; Chordata; Mammalia; Primates; Cebidae.
GUGCUCGCUUCGGCAGCACAUAUACUAAAAUUGGAAUGAUACAGAGAAGAUUAGCAUGGCCCCUGCGCAAGGAAGACAUGCAAAUUUGUGAAGAAUAUACCAAAUUA